Podarcis lilfordi (Lilford's wall lizard) is the source of this 4053-nucleotide non-coding RNA. The record is from the annotation of a GenBank genome assembly. NCBI's taxonomy places the organism in Eukaryota, Metazoa, Chordata, Lepidosauria, Squamata, Lacertidae.
CACCCCAUUCCUACGCCCCUGCCUUUACUACCUCACCCCCCCCCAAAAAAACCUUAUCUUGAAAUACCAAAACAGAGAAGAGCUUUGACUCUGGCUCAUUGCCAGACUCUCCCCUCAGCCAUCCAGGAAGGUCAUUUCAGAAAUACACCUUAUGAGGAGAGAAAAUGCCCCUGCAGUUCUAGACACAUGGAAACAAUCGAACACAUUCUCUUCCAUUGCCAGUAUUACACAAACGUAUGUGCUAGGUUUAUUCUGCCAAUAGCACACAAAUUUCCAGGACACGCAGGGCAGUUCUAUAUCUCCUUACUGCUCCAAUUCUGUUAUAACAUAUUCAAUUGCCAAAUAUUGUGCUGCCAUGAUUGGCAUACGCCAGAGGAUGGUAUGUGCCACACAGCAGGUCUAAAAUCGAAGGAUUGAUUUACCUGUUUUACAUGUUUUUAUCUUAUGUUUUCAACACUUUUCAACUCUGGCCCCGGCCUGGUGGAACGUUCUGCCUCAUGAGACCAGGGCCCUGCGGGAUCUGAUUUCUUUCUGCAGGGACUGUAAGACAGAGUUGUUCCACCUGGCCUUUGGCUUGGAGCCAAUUUGAUUCCCUCCCCCUCUUUCCUUUUUCCUUUCUCCGUCUGUGAUGGAGCCCCUAUUUGGGGACUUCCCUGGCUUUUCUGGCCCACGUAGGACCAGUCUGGAUAGUUGGUCUUGGUGAAGAUUUGCUGUUUUCUCCCCCCAAACAGUUUUUGAUCUGGGCUUCCACUGAAAUGAGGCUGCAUUUUAAGUAGUAUUUUAAUUUUUAAGUUGUUUUUUUAAUCAAUUUUUUUAAUAGAUGCCCUGAGCCCGGUCUUGGGCGGGGAAGGCGGGGUAUAAAUAAAAUUAAAUAAAUAAAUAAUGUUGGUCUACUGCAUCUGAGAAUACGAGUAGGUAUACCCUCUACCUCUGCAGUUACCUUACUGCCUGUCUAGUAUGUUUUAUUUAUGAUUGGAGGUGCUUUUACCUUAUGCUGGUCUAUGACUGUAAUAAAGAUUUGGAUUGGUUUGGUCCUCUGGCGCAAGGGCUGGACCAAAAGACGUUCACUCUGGUGAUCGCGCACCAAACUUCCUUCCCAUGCGGUGCUGUGGUGUGACUCUGCUGGUGGCCAGAGCGCUGGGCUCUCUGGGUGGGUGAGUGGCACAAGCAGGUGGCAAAUGUGGGGAGGGCAAGGGUGAGCAGCUGGAGUGGGCAGGGGGUAGCAAGGCGGGUGUCCAAAAUUUAGUUAGGAAAAAGUUGAAGCAUAUGCAGCUCCUAGGAUCCAAGGUCCCUUCGCCCUCCCCCCCAAUAAAAUAUUUGAAUAGGCCUGCCCCCCCAAGUUGAUAUGCCUUGCCAUUCAAAUGGUGUGAAUGUGAAUGUGCUGCAUCUUGUGAUUGAUUAUGCAGAGCAGGGCUUACCCCUGCAAGGGAAAUAAUAAUAAUAAUAAUAAUAAUAAUAAUAAUAAUUUAUUUAUACCCCGCCCAUAUGGCUGGGUUUCCCCAGCAACUCUGGGCGGCUUCCAACAAAACACUAAAAUACAAUAACCUAUUAAACAUUAAAAGCUUCCCUAAACAUGUUCUGUCAGGGCACCUGAGCCCAUCAGCUCCCUGAGAGUGAUUUGUGCAAUCAAAAUACCUGAACUGAGUCUUUAAAAGGUAUGUCAAAAAUUCAUUUAUUCCUUCUAUUUAUGCCACCAAGGUCCCGGAGAGUUUUCACAGCAGAACAAAAAGUAUUCAGCAUUAACAGCCAUUAUAUGGUAAUGCUAGAUGAAGGGCAUCGAAUGACUUUUUAGCUUCCUAAUAUGUAGAUGCAGCAGGCUUCACAAGCUCAUGAAAAUGUGAAUUCCAGAAACACAAUUAGGUACAGAUGAAUAUUGUUGACUAUCACCAUUACCCCACCAUUAUUUUCAAUUCUUGGUUUGCAAAGGCUGAGUCAUUAUAAUUGUUAUAGCUGGGAAGGUUUAUUCAUGGAAUUCAUUGUACAGUUCAAAGAGUCCCUCAUUUUCAGAAAAACUUACUGUACUCCUCUGGAAUAUUUAUUGAAGUAAUCAUGGAGAAGAUGGAGUGAUGUGCAAGGAGAGUACAAUUGGAUAUGGUGACAUUGUUAAUUUGCUGUUUUGUAUAUGACUAUUUUAUUUUACUUUACUUUACUACUUAUGUAUAUCAUUUAGAGAGAUUUGUUGCUUAACUGUGUUGUUCCAAAUGUGAAAUUAUUAUUUUUUGCAGUUAUAUCAAAGUUUGUGUCCUUGUGUGUGAUCCUCCUGGAGACUGCAGCUAAGGGUGGAAGGUUAAAUUAUCAUUACUCCAGGAAGAUCAUUCCCUUUUAGCAAUUAGACUUGAAAAUCACUAAGGAGGAGGAGAAGAAAAACUUCAAGCAUAAUUGCUGGGGUCAAGGCAUGCAUGUGAUGGUUCCUGUGUGUGAAUAUGUGUAGGGAUGUAAGCGUGUGAGAUGGCCACACCUACUUUUGUCUUUGCCGCUCCCACUAUUGGCAUGUGGCCCUCAAAGGGCUGAUUUAGAGAGAAUGCAGCCCCCCCCCCCACCUCAGUAUGCAAAACACCCCCCUCUCCCUAUUAUAUGGGAUUGAAUAAUUGAGGCUACCCGCUUGGUGAUUUGAUAGAAACCAGGUCUCUGAGAAGUGGAACUAAUGGGAUAGUGAUUCAUAACUGACCCUUUAAUUAAUUUAUCUCUAAGCAUCUAACUGUAACAGCUGCCACUGACAUUCUUCUUAAUCACUUCCAACCAUUCACAGGCAUUACGGUAAAUGGAGAAAAGUUUCUGUGCUGUUAUUUUUAAAUUGUUUAUUCUCAAUGAAACAACUGCCAAAGAUGAUUUGUACAUAUCUCUUAGACUGGAUGCAAUGGCUUAUGGCACCAUAAUGUACAAAAGGGGGAGGAGAGGUUAAUUUGCCCCACCAGAAAAAAACAUUUCUGGCUGUUUAACUAAGACCUAUUUGAGGAAGCACAAAUGCUUAGGGAUGCCUUGGUUUCUGCAGCAUCUUGCAGGGUUCACACACACACACACACACACACACACAAAAAACCAGGUGUUCAAAGAACAUAUGAGGGAAAUUGCACAACUAUGAGGGCUAGUUCCACUCUUUGGGAUGGACAAAUCUGUUCAUUUCCAAUCCAUUCCUCUCAUUUUCUUGUUCCAUUAUUGAAAUCAGCUCUCCACAGUUUUAUUUGUUUAUUUAUGUUAAAGUCCACAUAAAAAAUCAUCCGCAUCUUAGUGCAAUAAUAAAUACAUCAUUGAAUGCAAUUUUGUGAGAGAGACAAAUUUUUGCAAGAAAUGUACUGUAACAUUUAUAUGUUAUUUUCAUUAAAUAUAUAUGUUGUUAUAUGUGGUUUUACACAACAGGCACAUCACCAAAUUCAAAGAAGAACAGAUUUUCACGGGUAGCACGUGUGUGUGUGUGUGUGUGUGUGUGUGUGUGUGUGUUCAUGUAUUGUUUUGGGAAGUGCAUUAAAAACCAAACUGAGCCAAAUAUCUCCCCCAUCCCUAUCCACUGCUGGUACUGAAGCAUGCAGUAGCCAUGCACACAGUUGCUGGCCGCACAGUCACCAUCCCAUCAACACUAAUACCGACUCUGCAUUUGACCCAUGUAUGCAGGAGCUAAUGGGUGCACACAGAGUUCCUCUAAGCAAGAGGGGUUUGGACCAGGGAGGAAAAAUUAGAAGCUUAUAUUGAGGUAUAAACUGCCAUACUAUAUAAGACUUUGGGUUGAUAGAAUUAACUCAGGUUGAGUACCACAGAGAACAUGGGGUCCACUUUACUUUACUGGAACCACGUGAAACUGUCUGACAGUGUUGAUAUGAUUUUAUAAUAUAUUUUGAUUUAUUUUACAGUACAUUGCAUUUUGGUCUAUACCAAAUACCACAGUUUGCAUCAGGAGUCCCCCACUUGGUACUCUCCAGAUGUUUUGGACUUCAUCAGCUCCAUCAGCUUGACAAGGCCAGUUGUCUGGGAUGAUGGGACCUAGAGCCCAACAACAUCUGCCCCAGGUUGGAGAAGGCUGGUUUUGGAUGAUAUAUUGUUAUGUUUGCUGUGCGUGUG